This 181-nucleotide unclassified non-coding RNA is filed under the name uncultured fungus. RNAcentral's name for it is "partial contains 18S rRNA, ITS1, 5.8S rRNA, ITS2 and 28S rRNA". Lineage: Eukaryota; Fungi. The record is from RNAcentral.
AAGGAUCAUUACCUAGAGUUGCGGGCUUUGCCUGCCAUCUCUUACCCAUGUCUUUUGAGUACCUUCGUUUCCUCGGCGGGUCCGCCCGCCGACUGGACAACACUUAAACCCUUUGUAAUUGAAAUCAGCGUCUGAACAAACUUAAUAGUUACAACUUUCAACAACGGAUCUCUUGGUUCUG